AGUUUACUAAACUGAGUUAACUAAGCAACUUCUGGAAUCAGGAAGGGUCUCAGGAAGACUACCUUGGACUCAGAAUCGAGGGACCCCGGAGCCCUCAUGGGACAUCUCAAUCACACCGGACUUGGCAUAUUCAUCAGCCUAGCAACCUAUGAUUACCAAGCAUUUCUGUGUUCAAAGGGCUUGCGGGGCAUUAUUUCAUCUCUUUCCCCUCCAGAUCUGGAGCAGUCAUACCCGCCACUCUGACAGAGAGCUGGAGGAGCCACGUGGAGACUGUA
Echinops telfairi (small Madagascar hedgehog) is the source of this 275-nucleotide long non-coding RNA. RefSeq lists it as uncharacterized. The record is from RefSeq and is a predicted model, not a curated record. Lineage: Eukaryota; Metazoa; Chordata; Mammalia; Afrosoricida; Tenrecidae. The transcript is spliced from 4 exons.